RNAcentral lists this ribosomal RNA (908 nucleotides) under Andes simplex. RNAcentral describes it as "eukaryotic LSU rRNA". It matches the Rfam family "Eukaryotic large subunit ribosomal RNA", at positions 1320 to 1917 of the family's 3401-position model. The record is from RNAcentral. Lineage: Eukaryota; Metazoa; Arthropoda; Insecta; Hemiptera; Cixiidae.
GGAUGGAGCUCUAGCGUCGUGCCUAUACCGGGCCGUCAACGNGCACAGUGGGCGUCUGCUUUCGGGCAAGAGCCGUUAUGCCUUGACGAGUAGGAGGGUCGCGGCGGUGUGCGCAGAAGGGUCUGGGCGUGAGCCCGCCUGGAGCCGCCGUCGGCGCAGAUCUUGGUGGUAGUAGCAAAUACUCUAGCGAGGGCCUGGAGGACUGACGUGGAGAAGGGUUUCUUGUGAACAGCCGUUGCACAAGAGUCAGUCGACCCUAAGCACUAGGAGAAAUCCGAUGUUGAUGGGUGGCUAUACAAAACCACGUUCUGUUUGUUGCGAACGCUCUCAACGCCCCUCUCCUGCCUGCGAGUUCUCUUUCCCUGUCCCGCGGCCGAAUAGGCCAGGAAUACAGAGGGAUCGCCUUGCAGGAGUGCAGGGCAGCCGAGUGUCGAUUAUCCGCCUCGGAGUCGCUUCAGUUGCUGCGGACACCCGUCGCGUACAGCGAAAGGGGCCAAGUCUCUCGAGCGUCUCUUGAGGAAGGGUGCAGCGUAACAACUGCUCCUGUCGUGCAAAAGGGAAUCCGGUUCCUAUUCCGGAACCCGGCUGCGUAACCGCCACUCUGCGGGCACUCGCCUGCGAGCGCUCGUCGGGGUAACCCAAACUGGCCCGGAGACGCCGGCGGGGGGUCUGGAAAGAGUUUUCUUUUCUUUAUAAGCGUUCGAGUACCCUGGAAUCCUAUAGCANGGAGAUAGGGUUUGGAACGCGAAGAGCACCGCAGUUGCGGCGGUGUCCGGACUUCCCCCCCGGACCUUGAAAAUCCGGGUGAGGGCUACGCGGAAGUCGCGCCGGAUCGUACCCAUAUCCGCAGCAGGUCUCCAAGGUUAAGAGCCUCUAGUCGAUAGAAUAAUGUAGGNANGGNAAGUCGG